RNAcentral lists this long non-coding RNA (2137 nucleotides) under Sus scrofa (pig). RNAcentral describes it as "lncRNA (ENSSSCG00005001132.1)". Lineage: Eukaryota; Metazoa; Chordata; Mammalia; Artiodactyla; Suidae. The record is from RNAcentral.
GAGAACAGAUGCUCAGGAAAUGUUUGUUGAGUGAAUAAAUGUGUGAACUGGGAGGAGUUACUUCUCCUCUCUGGGCCUCAGUUUCUUCACCUGUAAAAUGAGGGAGUUGCUCUCUCAGGUCCUUGCAACUCUGAUGUUCUUAAAUUCAAUAGGAAAAGGUUCCCGCAGACCCUCAGCCACCACAUCUCAGGAACAGGCUGGGGUUAAGGCUCGAGAUUGAUCUUUGGCUGGUGGAAGGAGGGUUCCAGCUGUCACCCGGCUCCCUUGACUCUGGGUUGUGGCGUGAGGGGUCAGGUGACACCCAGCCAGUGAUAGGUGGCAUUAUCAGUGCUGGUCUCUGCCAGAAAUUUCUCUGUGCAUAAAUCCCAGAUGUUCCUUCCUUCCCCGCUGGUGCCACUGAAAACAACACAGCUUGUCCCAUCUGCUCUAGACACAUUGUAAGGGUGAGCAGGAGGCACCCACCUGCUGGCCAAUUGUGCCCCCGCCCUGACCCACCGCCCCUGGGAGGGACUCUCCAGAGCUGCAGGAUGAUGUCCAGACUCCAAGAUGUGGUCUUCAGGGCCCUGGCCUAACUGCCCAACCCACCUCCCCCAAACCACUAAACAGACUCUGUGCCCCCCAGAGAUGGACCGGACCCAGCAUCGCUCCGUGUCCUGCCUCUGCCUUUGCUCUGGCUGUGUCCUCUCCUCCCCUUUCCCUGGGUUCGUAACUUACUCAUCCUUUGAGAUCCAGCUGAAAAGCCACAUUUUUCCUGCCCCCAACCUGGAAGUAACCACUCAGCCACCUGAACUCCCAUGGACCAUCAGCUCCCUUCUUUAGGGCAGGCAUCGCUUUCUCCUCUUAUCGCAACAGCUACGUGUGCCCCUGUCUGCCUCCUCCCCAGCUAUCCGCUCCUGGGAGUCAGGAUGCUCGGCUGAUGCAUCUUUGUGUCCUAUUCAGGGCUAGCUCAGCUUCAGGCUUGUGAACAGAAUGAAUGGGUGGGUGGGUGGAUAAAUGAAUGAGUGAAUGAAACCUAUGAGAAUCUACUUUAUUCCCAGAAAGGUCUGUAUCCAAGCCCUUUUACACUCACUGAGUGCUGUGUGCCCAAAACUGGGACUGGCCAUGGUGACCUGGACAAACACAGUUCCUGCUCUCUUGGCAGUUCAAUCUAGUGGAGGCGAGUGACAAAUAAAUUAGGCCGUUAAGAGUUCCCCUUGUGGCUCAGAUACUCUGACAUAGUAUCUAUGAGGAUGCAGGUUUGAUCCCUGGCCUCACCCAGUGAGUUACGUGUCUGGCAUUGCUGCAAGCUGAGGUGUGGGUCACAGAUGAAGCUUGGAUCCCACAUUGCUGUGGCGAAGGCCAGCAGCUGCAGCUCUGAUUUGACCCUUGGCCCGGGAACUUCCAUAUGCCACAGAUGUAGCUACAUAAAAAAAAAAUUAGGCCAAUAAACAAGUGGUUACACAAGUGAUGAAUGAGGUCAAGGAAAAUACAGCGGCUGUGAUGGAGAGUAGAGGCGGAGAAAUCCUCUUGGAGAAGGGACAUUAGAGCCUCGACCAGGGAGUGAGAAGGAACAGCCACGUGAAGAGGGAGGAGGAGACACGAGCUCCAGGGAGAGCAGAAGCCGAAAGCCAGGCAUGAGUCUGGGGGUCAAGGAUCUGGAAGGAAGCCAGGAGGACAGGUCCGCAGACAGAGGUGAAGAGGUGGAUGGAGAAUGGCUCACCAGGGCCCCGGAGACCGCCGUGAGAAAUUGAGGUUUUAUUCUAAGUGCAACAGGAAGUUACUAGAGAAAUUUAAGCAGCAGAGACACCAUGAUGACACAACUACAAGUUUCUUGUUUUUAAAAUAGCCCCAGCUGCUUUAUGGGACUGGUUUGAAGAGGUCAGGAACAAAAGCAGGUAGCUAUUGCAAGAAAUUGUUGUGGCUCAGAAGGUGAAGAACCUGACUAGGAUCCAUGAGGAUGCGGGUUUGAUCCCUGGCCUCACUCAGUGGGUUAAGGAUCUGGCGUUGCCAUGGCCUCUGGUGUAGGUCACAAACUCGGCUCAGAUCCAGCAUGGCUGUGGCAUAAGCCAGCGGCUGCAGCUCUGAUUCAACCACUAGCCUGGGAGCUUCCAUAUGCCAUAGGGGCAGCCAUGAAAAGCAAAAAAAAAAAAAAAAAAAA